This is a long non-coding RNA of Suricata suricatta (meerkat), 425 nucleotides long. RefSeq lists it as uncharacterized. The transcript has 3 exons. NCBI's taxonomy places the organism in Eukaryota, Metazoa, Chordata, Mammalia, Carnivora, Herpestidae. The record is from RefSeq and is a predicted model, not a curated record.
CUUGGAACCACACAAACUAAUACAUCUGGAGACAGGAAUCUCAAAUACAAAUAUAUGAGUAUUAAGGAAAAAGCUGGAACAAAUUAGCACAUACCAAGGCACAACUGCAGAGAAAAGCAAGGUAGAGAACAAGAGAUGACUGUUGCCAGAGUAGAGGAUAAAGAAGUCAUGGAGAGUACUGACUUCAGAGAGAUCUAGGGGCUGGCAGAUGCUGCUCCAUCUAGAAGACCCUGCUAAUAAUCACAGCUGCAUUUGCUAGACUGUUGAGUCCGGAUUCUGCUACUUGUGUCAAGGCUGAGCUGGCGGCUAAAGAUCACCAAGGAAUGUGGUUAAAAGCAGAGUCUAAGACUCCCUCCUGGAGAUCUGGAUUUAGAGAUUAAGGGGAGGGACCUGCAAUUAAUAUUAAAUUCUUUUUUCCUGAUAAA